RNAcentral lists this ribosomal RNA (492 nucleotides) under uncultured bacterium. RNAcentral's name for it is "partial 16S ribosomal RNA". It matches the Rfam family "Bacterial small subunit ribosomal RNA", at positions 29 to 507 of the family's 1533-position model. The record is from RNAcentral.
AGUGAACGCUGGCGGUAGGCCUAACACAUGCAAGUCGAACGGCAGCACAGUAAGAGCUUGCUCGUACGGGUGGCGAGUGGCGGACGGGUGAGGAAUACAUCGGAAUCUACUUUUUCGUGGGGGAUAACGUAGGGAAACGUACGCUAAUACCGCAUACGACCUACGGGUGAAAGCAGGGGAUCUUCGGACCUUGCGCGAUUGAAUGAGCCGAUGUCGGAUUAGCUAGUUGGCGGGGUAAAGGCCCACCAAGGCGACGAUCCGUAGCUGGUCUGAGAGGAUGAUCAGCCACACUGGAACUGAGACACGGUCCAGACUCCUACGGGAGGCAGCAGUGGGGAAUAUUGGACAAUGGGCGCAAGCCUGAUCCAGCCAUACCGCGUGGGUGAAGAAGGCCUUCGGGUUGUAGAGCCCUUUUGUUGGGAAAGAAAAGCAGCAGGUUAAUACCCCGCUGUUCUGACGGUACCCAAAGAAUAAGCACCGGCUAACUACGUG